UCAUGAUUAUCUUUCAAUUAUUAUUCUUGAUAAGGCAGAUCUUAUUUUUACAUAUGGAUAUGAAAAGAAUCUCAAAGAUCUCAAAACUCACAUUCCUAAAAGAUGUCAAUGCCUUCUCAUGGCUGCUACCUCAAGCUUGAAGAAGCUUUAUCUACACAAUCCCUAUAUUCUUACUUUAGCAGAAGUUGGUGAUGGAAAGGACGAAAUUGUCCCCAAAAAUGU
This is a long non-coding RNA of Lactuca sativa (garden lettuce), 222 nucleotides long. RefSeq lists it as uncharacterized. The record is from RefSeq and is a predicted model, not a curated record. Lineage: Eukaryota; Viridiplantae; Streptophyta; Magnoliopsida; Asterales; Asteraceae.